Molecule: ribosomal RNA, 502 nt
Filed under: uncultured bacterium
Lineage: Bacteria
Description: SSU rRNA
Rfam family: Bacterial small subunit ribosomal RNA
Source: RNAcentral
AGAUUGAACGCUGGCGGCAUGCCUUACACAUGCAAGUCGAACGGCAGCACGGGGGCAACCCUGGUGGCGAGUGGCGGAACGGGUGAGUAAUACAUCGGAACGUGUCCUGUAGUGGGGGAUAGCUCGGCGAAAGCCGGAUUAAUACCGCAUACGCUCUACGGAGGAAAGCGGGGGAUCUUCGGACCUCGCGCUAAAGGGGCGGCCGAUGGCAGAUUAGCUAGUUGGUGGGGUAAAGGCCUACCAAGGCGACGAUCUGUAGCUGGUCUGAGAGGACGACCAGCCACACUGGGACUGAGACACGGCCCAGACUCCUACGGGAGGCAGCAGUGGGGAAUUUUGGACAAUGGGGGCAACCCUGAUCCAGCAAUGCCGCGUGUGUGAAGAAGGCCUUCGGGUUGUAAAGCACUUUGUCAGGGAAGAAAGGAUUCUACUAAUACUGGAGUCUGAUGACGGUACCUGAAGAAUAAGCACCGGCUAACUACGUGCCAGCAGCCGCGGUAAU